RNAcentral lists this non-coding RNA (85 nucleotides) under bovine gut metagenome. Its description in RNAcentral is "S10-Clostridia ribosomal protein leader". It matches the Rfam family "S10-Clostridia ribosomal protein leader". The record is from RNAcentral.
UGAGAGCUAAGAUCCGUAAGGUUGCUGCCCAUUAAGCGGCAGGUAAUUUACGGGGAGCGAAUGUCCGUUCAGGAAACCGACGACA